UUCAAACCUUACCAGAGACGUUCGAACCCUAAAUGAAAUGCAUGAACCCUAGAAUUCCAAAGCUUUGGAGUCUAUUCAAAUCGAUGGGAGGUUGAGGUCUAAUUGACCUUAAUCUAGGUGUUCUCACUUAAGAACACCGCGAUUAAGGUCCGUUCGACUUAAAAUGGUCGAGUUCGUGGAGACCUUCUUGUCGUUUGUUCUUGAGCUUUAAGAGAUAAGUACUUCUUGUCAUUCUUUCCUUAUUUACGUAUAUCUUUGUUGUUAGCAUGACUGGUCUGAUUUGUUUGAUUCUUCUAUUAUUUUCUUCUUUCAAUUUUGUUCAUAUCCAUAGACCCUUUAGUUUGGUCCUUUUCUUCUUUUCAUUUUUUUGUUAUUUGAUGUUAUUGUUAGUUAUGUGUUUAGUCGUAGAAUAAUUUAGUUCAUUCUUAUGUUCCCUGAUAAACCACUGAAAUCCCGAACAUGCCUGUUACACCAUAUUAAUUGAUUGUUUUGCUAUCUGAUAUAGUUCAUAUAAUCGUUUAAUUAUAGGUCGUCAACUGAAUUCACUUGAAAACUGAAAGAAUUUAGAAGAACAUGAAUAGUAGCUUCUAGUGCUAAAUUUCCAGUAUGCUUUCUCUUGAGCAUAUGCCUCUAUUCAUUAAUUUGCUAAGCCGAUUCUUAUUUGUGUGUUAUUUUGUGUUUGUUUACAUAUUAGUUUAGUCCAUUUGAUUUUUCUAUCAUUCUUCUUUCAAUUCUGUCCAUCUUCAGUAGACCUUUUAUUUGGUUGAUUUUUUUUGCUCGUUCGAUGAUUUGUGUGUUUAUCAUCCAGUAAUUAGUUCAUAUUUGGUCGACUGUUUUACCCCAAAUCCAGGAAUCGACAUGUUUGUAUAUCCUCUGUUUGUUGUUUAUGUGGUUGAUUAAAGUUAACUGCAAUCACCUUGUUAGUGUGUUUUAAUUCUGUUGGUCUGUUGUUAAUUGCAUCUAUGUUAUAAACUAUAUAAUCGUCUAAAUAAAGUUAUUAGUUAGUCUUUCAUGGUUGAAUGAUAAAAUUACUUGAUAAUAGGCUAUUAUUGUUCAAGUUCAGUAGUUUUGCUUAGACUGUUUCUUUUCUAAUGUUGUAAUUGGAUUGAGCCUGUUGGUACCCAAGUUGAGAAACUGAGCUUAUUAGUUUCAAUUCAUUUUUGUUCAGUAGUAGAUGGUUUUGUGUUUAUAUGUUAAUUAUACAUUCAGUUCUUUGAUUUUGUUAUUAAAGAUUGGCUUUAGCUGUUAAUUAGAGGAUAAUUUCAGAAAACUAGAGGUAUAGUUUGUCUUCUGAUGUUCAGAAUCAGAACAGUGGCAGCUAGUAGGAACCAGGGGUGUUUUAGGAAUAGAAAAUAAGGAAAUUUAGUUUGACUGUUUGGUCUAUCCUGUAGGGCCUUAACAACUUUAAUUUGAACUAGCGGGAUUAAGGGGCCACUAAGUAAUAAGUAGGGCACUAAUGAGGACAUUUCUAAGUGGGAUGUGAAAGUUAAUAGACAACUAUUAGUCGAAGAAUACUUUUGUUUUAAAUGGACAAAUUCAGGUAUGAUUACCUAUCCACAAAGGCCAAAAAUCCGAAAAAGGAAAAUGUGAUUGAGAGGAGAGAAUGGAAUAAAAAGGGAAUUUUCUUUGAAAGAAAGGGGUCAGUCGGAGAGCAUUUUUCUGAGGUUUCUUUGAAUCCGGAGAGAGAUUAAGGCUGAUCUUUAUUUAAAACUUAAGCUGGCUUGCUUUUCUUGGAGUGUUCAAAAUCAGAAGCAUUGCUUCUCUUGUAUCUGGUCCUCUUGUUUUGGUUUUGAGUGCAUAUAGUAUUACUAGAGUUCAUUUGGUAUUGCUAUUUAGCUCCCUGAAGUUGCUUGUGGUUAUUCUUGAGUGUGUUACUGAUUAUCCAUAUGCUAGCAGACCAUCUCUUUUGGGUUUGAGUACUGGUUCACCUCUAUUUGCUUUCUGGUAUUAUUGACAUACACUUGGUGUUGUUGUUUGGACUUUCUGGAAUUGCUGUUGGUUUCUUUAAGUGUCCUGUUUGAUUUCAAAUCCUUCCUGGGUCUUCUAUUGCCACUGGUUUAUUUCUAUUAUUGCUGGAAAUCUCUGUUGCUGAACCUGUUGAUGUGCUGUGUUUGUUAGUGCCUGUUCACUACGGAUCCUUCAUUCCUUUGUUUCAGAAAUACCAGGGACACAAACUACACUAGUACACAAUGUAGCUGAAAGUUUGAAGCAUGAAUAAAAAAUGAUGCCUUAAUUAUUAGUUUAUUAGUUUAAUUCAUUUUUGUUCAGUAGUAGAUGGUUUUGUGUUUAGAUGUUAAUUAUUGAUUCAGUUCUGUGAUUUUGUUAUUAAAGAUUGGCUAUAACUGUUAAUUAGAGAAUAAUUUAAGAAAAUUAGAGGUAUAGUUUUGUCUUCUGAUGUUCUGAAUCAGAAUAGUGGCAGCAAGUAGGAUCGAGGGGUGUUUUAGGAAUAGAAAAUAAGGAAAUUUAGUUUGACUGUUUGGUCUAUCCUGUAGGGCCUUAACAACUUUAAUUUGAACUAGCGGGAUUAAGGGGCCACUAAGUAAUAAGUAGGGCACUAAUGAGGACAUUUCUAAGUGGGAUGUGAAAGUUAAUAGACAACUAUUAGUCGAAGAAUACUUUUGUUUUAAAUGGACAAAUUCAGGUAUGAUUACCUAUCCACAAAGGCCAAAAAUCCGAAAAAGGAAAAUGUGAUUGAGAGGAGAGAAUGGAAUAAAAAGGGAAUUUUCUUUGAAAGAAAGGGGUCAGUCGGAGAGCAUUUUUCUGAGGUUUCUUUGAAUCCGGAGAGAGAUUAAGGCUGAUCUUUAUUUAAAACUUAAGCUGGCUUGCUUUUCUUGGAGUGUUCAAAAUCAGAAGCAUUGCUUCUCUUGUAUCUGGUCCUCUUGUUUUGGUUUUGAGUGCAUAUAGUAUUACUAGAGUUCAUUUGGUAUUGCUAUUUAGCUCCCUGAAGUUGCUUGUGGUUAUUCUUGAGUGUGUUACUGAUUAUCCAUAUGCUAGCAGACCAUCUCUUUUGGGUUUGAGUACUGGUUCACCUCUAUUUGCUUUCUGGUAUUAUUGACAUACACUUGGUGUUGUUGUUUGGACUUUCUGGAAUUGCUGUUGGUUUCUUUAAGUGUCCUGUUUGAUUUCAAAUCCUUCCUGGGUCUUCUAUUGCCACUGGUUUAUUUCUAUUAUUGCUGGAAAUCUCUGUUGCUGAACCUGUUGAUGUGCUGUGUUUGUUAGUGCCUGUUCACUACGGAUCCUUCAUUCCUUUGUUUCAGAAAUACCAGGGACACAAACUACACUAGUACACAAUGUAGCUGAAAGUUUGAAGCAUGAAUAAAAAAUGAUGCCUUAAAGCCUGAAGUCUUGUAGCUGUACUCGUACCUUCUGAUGUUGUGUAUAUAUGUUAGCUAUUAGUUCACUAGGUCAUGUCAUUAAUAUUCAUGUAAAGCUGAAUACUAAUCCGUAAUAGUCUAAAUGUUAAACUCUUUCCUCGUAUGCUAGUGUUUAAAAAAGAUAGUGAUACAGUAGUUCAUGUUCUCGUCAUUUCCAGCCUAUGUUAUUUAGAAGCAUGAACAGAUUGUAGGUG
Molecule: long non-coding RNA, 3568 nt
Filed under: Nicotiana benthamiana
Lineage: Eukaryota; Viridiplantae; Streptophyta; Magnoliopsida; Solanales; Solanaceae
Description: long non-coding RNA (NBEN_LNC021248)
Source: RNAcentral